ACGAACGCUGGCGGCGUGCUUAACACAUGCAAGUCGAACGGAAAGGCCUUGCUUUUGUGGGGUGCUCGAGUGGCGAACGGGUGAGUAACACGUGAGUAACCUGCCCUUGACUUUGGGAUAACUUCAGGAAACUGGGGCUAAUACCGGAUAGGAGCUCCUGCUGCAUGGUGGGGGUUGGAAAGUUUCGGCGGUUGGGGAUGGACUCGCGGCUUAUCAGCUUGUUGGUGGGGUAGUGGCUUACCAAGGCUUUGACGGGUAGCCGGCCUGAGAGGGUGACCGGCCACAUUGGGACUGAGAUACGGCCCAGACUCCUACGGGAGGCAGCAGUGGGGAAUAUUGCACAAUGGGCGGAAGCCUGAUGUAGCAACGCCGCGUGCGGGAUGACGGCCUUCGGGUUGUAAACCGCUUUCGCCUGUGACGAAGCGUGAGUGACGGUAAUGGGUAAAGAAGCACCGGCUAACUACGUG
This 467-nucleotide ribosomal RNA is filed under the name uncultured bacterium. RNAcentral describes it as "partial 16S ribosomal RNA". It matches the Rfam family "Bacterial small subunit ribosomal RNA", at positions 29 to 507 of the family's 1533-position model. The record is from RNAcentral.